Mangifera indica (mango) is the source of this 877-nucleotide long non-coding RNA. RefSeq lists it as uncharacterized. The record is from RefSeq and is a predicted model, not a curated record. Lineage: Eukaryota; Viridiplantae; Streptophyta; Magnoliopsida; Sapindales; Anacardiaceae. The transcript has 4 exons.
CUAACUAGGCUGGACUAUUAAAUGGAGCUAUAAAAUCGGAUCCUGCUGCAGGGAAGCUACCUCAUUAUCUUAUCUUCAAGAUUUUCAGAAGCCGAAUUGAAGUCGAGACAUUGUGUCACUCCGACUCACUCACCCUCGGAGCUAUACUUCGCACUCCUUCUCAAUCUCGCAUUUCCUCUUCUCAAUCUAAAACUCUUGGAACAUCUAUCGGCUGCUCAACUCACUCGUGUAUUGGGGCGGCAGCGAUAAGAAGACGGCAAAAGGAAAACGUUUUAAUCACUCCUUUGGCAAUGCGAGACAACAAGACAAGAAGAAAAGAGGAGGACCACUGAGAGUUCCGACACCGCCUACUCCACCAAGGAGAGGCUUGUCUAUUGUCCAGUGAUUGAGAAUCGGUUUUCUGGACUGACAUUUUGCACCCAGGAAUUCCCUUGGCCCAAAUGCCCUUGCUGGUGAAAAACAAGCCAUGAAGAAAUCAUAUGUACACUGUUUGUCAAAGAAUUAUAGAACUCAGUCAUGAAAUUUUCUACUCAAGUCACUUGACUGGAGAAUCUCAAUAUGGGGCGAUUUCGCUAAGUUUAAUAUCCGCAGGGUAGAUAGAAAGGUUGGAGAUGAGGAUGUCUGCAUAAAUUAUGAUAAAUAUAGCUGCUAAUGAGCUGGUAGCAAAGACGUGAGAUUUAAUGUUUCAACCAAGCACCCUGUGGCUUAGUAUCUUGUCCAUGAGAGUUGAAUAGGGACGGACUUUACGUAGUGAUCCAUUGUUGUUCUUCAGAGUAUAGCUUAUGCUCUUGUCUUUGUGCCUCCAUGUUAGCAAUGAGACUGUUCACUAAGGGACUAUUUCUCUUUUUUUUUUUUUGGGUCUUGGAGAAAUUAGUGU